CAGCCGCCGCGGGAAUACGAAGGGUGCAAGCGUUACUCGGAAUUACUGGGCGUAAAGCGUGCGUAGGUGGUGGUUUAAGUCCGUUGUGAAAGCCCUGGGCUCAACCUGGGAAUUGCAGUGGAUACUGGGUCACUAGAGUGUGGUAGAGGAUAGUGGAAUUUCCGGUGUAGCGGUGAAAUGCGUAGAGAUCGGAAGGAACAUCUGUGGCGAAGGCGACUAUCUGGGCCAACACUGACACUGAGGCACGAAAGCGUGGGGAGCAAACAGGAUUAGAUACCCGAGUAGUCCCUGUCUCUUAUAC
This 301-nucleotide ribosomal RNA is filed under the name uncultured bacterium. RNAcentral describes it as "partial 16S ribosomal RNA". It matches the Rfam family "Bacterial small subunit ribosomal RNA", at positions 509 to 807 of the family's 1533-position model. The record is from RNAcentral.